RNAcentral lists this ribosomal RNA (253 nucleotides) under uncultured bacterium. RNAcentral describes it as "partial 16S ribosomal RNA". It matches the Rfam family "Bacterial small subunit ribosomal RNA", at positions 524 to 776 of the family's 1533-position model. The record is from RNAcentral.
UACGUAGGGGGCACGCGUUGUCCGGAUUCACUGGGUGUAAAGGGUGCGCAGGCGGUCUCUUAAGUCAAAGGUGAAAUCUCUCGGCUUAACCGAGAAAUUGCCUUUGAUACUGAGAGCCUUGAGUACGGGAGAGGGAGAUGGAAUUCCAGGUGUAGCGGUGAAAUGCGUAGAUAUCUGGAGGAACACCGGAGGCGAAGGCGGUCUCCUGGCCCGUUACUGACGCUCAGGCACGAAAGCGUGGGGAGCAAACAGG